RNAcentral lists this ribosomal RNA (434 nucleotides) under uncultured bacterium. RNAcentral's name for it is "partial 16S ribosomal RNA". It matches the Rfam family "Bacterial small subunit ribosomal RNA", at positions 29 to 507 of the family's 1533-position model. The record is from RNAcentral.
AGCGAACGCUGGCGGCAGGCCUAACACAUGCAAGUCGAACGAACCUUUCGGGGUUAGUGGCGGACGGGUGAGUAACACGUGGGAACGUGCCUUUAGGUUCGGAAUAACUCAGGGAAACUUGUGCUAAUACCGAAUGUGCCCUUCGGGGGAAAGAUUUAUCGCCUUUAGAGCGGCCCGCGUCUGAUUAGCUAGUUGGUUGAGGUAAUGGCUCACCAAGGCGACGAUCAGUAGCUGGUCUGAGAGGAUGAUCAGCCACAUUGGGACUGAGACACGGCCCAAACUCCUACGGGAGGCAGCAGUGGGGAAUCUUGCGCAAUGGGCGAAAGCCUGACGCAGCCAUGCCGCGUGAAUGAUGAAGGUCUUAGGAUUGUAAAAUUCUUUCACCGGGGACGAUAUUGACGGUACCCGGAGAAGAAGCCCCGGCUAACUUCGUG